GAUGAACGCUGGCGGCGUGCCUAAUACAUGCAAGUCGAGCGAACGGACGAGAACCUUGCUUCUCUGAUGUUAGCGGCGGACGGGUGAGUAACACGUGGAUAACCUACCUAUAAGACUGGGAUAACUUCGGGAAACCGGAGCUAAUACCGGAUAAUAUUUUGAACCGCAUGGUUCAAAAGUGAAAGACGGUCUUGCUGUCACUUAUAGAUGGAUCCGCGCUGCAUUAGCUAGUUGGUAAGGUAACGGCUUACCAAGGCAACGAUGCAUAGCCGACCUGAGAGGGUGACCGGCCACACUGGAACUGAGACACGGUCCAGACUCCUACGGGAGGCAGCAGUAGGGAAUCUUCCGCAAUGGGCGAAAGCCUGACGGAGCAACGCCGCGUGAGUGAUGAAGGUCUUCGGAUCGUAAAACUCUGUUAUUAGGGAAGAACAUAUGUGUAAGUAACUGUGCACAUCUUGACGGUACCUAAUCAGAAAGCCACGGCUAACUACGUGCCAGCAGCCGCGGCAAUACGUAGGUGGCAAGCGUUAUCCGGAAUUAUUGGGCGUAAAGCGCGCGUAGGCGGUUUUUUAAGUCUGAUGUGAAAGCCCACGGCUCAACCGUGGAGGGUCAUUGGAAACUGGAAAACUUGAGUGCAGAAGAGGAAAGUGGAAUUCCAUGUGUAGCGGUGAAAUGCGCAGAGAUAUGGAGGAACACCAGUGGCGGAGGCGACUUUCUGGUCUGUAACUGACGCUGAUGUGCGAAAGCGUGGGGAUCAAACAGGAUUAGAUACCCUGGUAGUCCACGCCGUAAACGAUGAGUGCUAAGUGUUAGGGGGUUUCCGCCCCUUAGUGCUGCAGCUAACGCAUUAAGCACUCCGCCUGGGGAGUACGACCGCAAGGUUGAAACUCAAAGGAAUUGACGGGGACCCGCACAAGCGGUGGAGCAUGUGGUUUAAUUCGAAGCAACGCGAAGAACCUUACCAAAUCUUGACAUCCUUUGACAACUCUAGAGAUAGAGCCUUCCCCUUCGGGGGACAAAGUGACAGGUGGUGCAUGGUUGUCGUCAGCUCGUGUCGUGAGAUGUUGGGUUAAGUCCCGCAACGAGCGCAACCCUUAAGCUUAGUUGCCAUCAUUAAGUUGGGCACUCUAAGUUGACUGCCGGUGACAAACCGGAGGAAGGUGGGGAUGACGUCAAAUCAUCAUGCCCCUUAUGAUUUGGGCUACACACGUGCUACAAUGGACAAUACAAAGGGCAGCGAAACCGCGAGGUCAAGCAAAUCCCAUAAAGUUGUUCUCAGUUCGGAUUGUAGUCUGCAACUCGACUACAUGAAGCUGGAAUCGCUAGUAAUCGUAGAUCAGCAUGCUACGGUGAAUACGUUCCCGGGUCU
This 1372-nucleotide ribosomal RNA is filed under the name uncultured bacterium. RNAcentral describes it as "bacterial SSU rRNA". It matches the Rfam family "Bacterial small subunit ribosomal RNA", at positions 28 to 1381 of the family's 1533-position model. The record is from RNAcentral.